UUGUCAUUUUCUUUAGUCACGGUUUUAAUUUACUCGUCGGUCUCUUUCUUUCUUUCUGAACAGCAUCUUCCCUUUCUUCUUUACUCGUGUAAUAAAUACAGAAGGCUCACGUUUUGCCAAGUGAGCAAACAGUACUUUGCCUUCACGGAUUUCAAACGAUAAAUUUGCAGUAAUCUUUAGUCGAAUGUAUUUUCUGACAUAUUUCCUCAAAACCCGCUAAGAAAAGUUCUCAUCUUUCCCAUUGAAUCUCCACAAAUACAACCUUUCUUCUGCUUCUUCUUCUUCUUGAGCUCAGUUCCUACUUACAGAACAAGGAAGCUUUGUCUUUUUGCUCUUUUAGAAGAUGGUUUCUUGUUUCUGCUUGGAUGUUCACUCUUGAGUAGAGCAUAAACAGAGAAAAUAAAGACAGCAUUAUCUACAUUCGCAGCAUUACUCAUGGCUUCAAUAAACGAUAUUGGAGUAGCAGCAGCAAUCAACAUAGUCACAGCAAUUGCGUUCUUGCUAGCUUUUGCAAUACUCAGGAUUCAACCAGUAAACGACAGAGUCUAUUUCCCUAAAUGGUAUCUUAAGGGCCUAAGAACUAGCUCUAUACAAACCGGUGGCUUCGGAAGCAAGUUUAUCAACUUGGACUUUAGGUCAUAUGUUCGAUUCCUCAACUGGAUGCCUGAAGCACUUAAAAUGCCAGAACCUGAGCUUGUCCAUCACGCAGGACUAGAUUCUGUUGUCUACUUGAGGAUCUACUUACUUGGGCUCAAGAUCUUUUUCCCCAUAGCUUGUGUUGCUUUUACAGCAAUGGUGCCUGUUAACUGGACAAACAAGGGUCUGGAUCGGUUAAAACACACUAAUAUAAGUUACAGUGAUAUCGAUAAACUUUCUUUAUCGAAUAUACCAAAUGGAUCAGGCAGUAGAUUUUGGGUGCAUUUGUGUAUGGCUUAUGCCAUCACCUUCUGGACAUGCUUUAUGCUGAAAAGAGAGUACAAGAAUAUAGCUUUGAUGAGGCUACAGUUUCUUGCUAAUGACGAAAGGAGACCUAACCAGUUUACUGUGCUGGUGAGAAACAUUCCUACAGACCCUCAUGAAUCAAUCUGUGAACUUGUUGAACAUUUCUUCAAGGUCAAUCAUCCAGAUCACUACCUCACUUACCAGGCAGUCCACGACUCAACAAAACUCUCAGAGUUGGUUCAGAAGAGGAAACAAAUGCAGAAUCUGCUCGAUUACAAUAUCAACAAACACAUGAGAACUCAAUCUAAAAGGCCAAUAAUAAAGAUGGGGUUUCUUGGCUGUUGCGGUGAACAAGUUGAUGGAAUCAAGUACUACACGUCCAUGGUGGAGAGUCUAACGAGAGAAAUAAGUGAGGAGAAGCAGAGGUUAAGGACAGGUACAAAGUCUAUAGUCCCUGCAGCUUUUGUGUCUUUCAAGAGCCGUUGGGGAGCAGCGGUUUGUGCUCAAACUGAACAGUCAAGAGACCCAACAGAGUGGCUAACCGAAUGGGCUGCAGAGCCACGUGACAUCUACUAUGACAAUCUGGCAUUGCCAUACGUCGACCUUAAGAUAAGAAGGAUCAUAGUAGCCAUCGCAUACUUCUUCCUCACCUUCUUCUUCAUGAUCCCAAUAGCAUUUGUACAGUCACUAGCUAACAUCGAAGGCAUAGAGAAGGCUUUUCCCUUCUUGAAGCCCCUUAUAGAAGUGAAAUUUUUUAAGUCCAUCAUCCAAGGGUUCCUUCCAGGGAUUGCAUUGAAGAUCUUCCUCAUGUUCCUCCCAAGAAUAUUGAUGCAAAUGUCGAAAUUCGAAGGUUUUGUCAGCACAUCCUCAUUAGAGAGAAGAGCAGCAAGUAGAUUCUACAUGUUUCAGUUCAUCAAUGUUUUCUUAGGAAGCAUAGUCACCGGGACUGCGUUUCAACAGCUCAACCGCUUCCUCAACCAGUCUGCAAACGAUAUUCCAAAGACAAUAGGCGUCUCGAUUCCAAUGAAAGCGACCUUCUUCAUAACAUACAUAAUGGUGGAUGGAUGGGCAGGUGUUGCUGGAGAGAUACUGAGGUUGAAGCCGCUAAUAAUCUAUCAUCUAAAGAACUCCUUCCUCGUGAGAACCGAGAAUGAUAGGGAAGAAGCAACUGAUGCUGGAACCAUAGGAUUCAACACUGGUGAACCUCAAAUACAACUCUACUUCCUUCUUGGUCUUGUUUACGCAGCAGUUAGCCCCAUCCUUCUUCCCUUUAUCAUCCUCUUCUUCGCCCUGGCUUAUGUAGUGUACCGUCAUCAGGUUAUAAAUGUGUAUAACCAAAAUUAUGAGAGCGCAGGGAAGUUCUGGCCUGACGUUCACAGGCGUGUCGUGACCGCACUGAUAGUUUCUCAGUUGCUCUUGAUGGGUCUUCUAAGCACCAAACAAGCUUCUAAGUCCACUCCUUUCCUUCUUGUGCUUCCGGUGUUGACCAUUGGGUUCCACAUGCACUGCAAAUGCCGUUACCAACCUGCUUUUGUCAGAUACUCUUUACAGGAAGCCAUGAUCAAAGAUACACUGGAACGCACACGUGAGCCAAACCUUAACCUCAAGGCUUUCUUUAGAAAUGCGUAUGCCCACCCGGAGUUUAGGGUGGGAGAAGACCUAGAGCUAGAGAUGGCCGUGGAGAAGCCUAAUAAGACACCGGAGCUAGUUGCCACUAAGCGUGGCUCAUGGAGGAACACUCCUUUGCCUAGCAGCAAACAUAGCUGCCCUUAUUCACCUUGAUGCUUUUGCUCUUUUCUACCUUUAAUGUGUCUAGAAGUGGCUGAAGAGCUUUACGACCAUCAGCAUGAGCAAGAACUCGACGCAGUCUGUGUUUAACCCCACUGUCUGGGGUGAAUUUCCUAUCGAGCAUGCUCUCAAGAAGCGGGACAGCAUCUUUAACCUUGUUCAGUUGAAGGAAGCCAGUUAUAACGGUGUUGAACAUAACAGAAUCAGAGGGCAUUGAUAACUAUAUUGUACGUUACCACAUCUGCCACCAAUCCCAUGUUCUGGAUUUCAUCAAAGAGUCUCUUUGCGUCAUCCAGCUUCCCAUUUUUAAUCAGACCACUGAUGAUAGCAUUGAACUGAAAUAUGUCGGGAGAUUGACCAGACUUGCGUAUUGCAUUGAAGAUAUCUUGAGCAGCAUCUGAAUUUCCAGCUCGGCAAGAAGCGUGUAUCAGUGAAGUAUAUGUAUAACUGUCUGGUUCCAUCCCCUCAUGUUUCAUUCGUCUUAUAAGCUCAGUGGCUUCUUCUAGCUUUCCAUGUUUGCAAUAGCCACUGAUCAUUGUAUUGUAUGUAAUUGGAUCAGGCACCAAACCCUUGUCCGAGAUUUCAUCAAAGAGUCUCUUUGCAUCA
This is an RNA transcript of Brassica napus (rape), 3336 nucleotides long. It is a transcript of the gene named CSC1-like protein At4g15430, with no coding region annotated. The record is from RefSeq and is a predicted model, not a curated record. NCBI's taxonomy places the organism in Eukaryota, Viridiplantae, Streptophyta, Magnoliopsida, Brassicales, Brassicaceae. The transcript is spliced from 15 exons.